GGGUGCUUGAGGCUAACUGUCUCAGGUAUGACCGAAAGGCAGAUAGAUAAAAGCCCCAAGUGACUUUAACAUCAACUUGAGGCCCCUAUAUGCUCGACACAUGUAGAGUAGCCUCUUACCGACCUUUGGGUCAAGGAGAAGCAGGCUAUGAAG
Molecule: antisense RNA, 153 nt
Filed under: [Enterobacter] lignolyticus SCF1
Lineage: Bacteria; Pseudomonadati; Pseudomonadota; Gammaproteobacteria; Enterobacterales; Enterobacteriaceae
Description: Enterobacter cloacae SCF1 sok antitoxin (CssrC)
Rfam family: sok antitoxin (CssrC)
About the family: Also identified in Shigella as CssrC.
Source: Rfam by way of RNAcentral